Molecule: long non-coding RNA, 101 nt
Organism: Myotis davidii
Lineage: Eukaryota; Metazoa; Chordata; Mammalia; Chiroptera; Vespertilionidae
Exons: 3
Source: RefSeq, a predicted model, not a curated record
GGCACUUUGAGGACCCUGAGGAAAUGGGGUUCGGGGUGGGGGGGAACAGCGUGGCAGACAGAGUAGGUUGGGCUGCGAUGUUCUGUGGGAAUCAAGGAGAG